CCUACGUGGGGCAGCAGUGGGGAAUAUUGCGCAAUGGGCGAAAGCCUGACGCAGCGACGCCGCGUGAGGGAUGAAGGUCUUCGGAUCGUAAACCUCUGUCAGCAGGGAAGAACGGUCACUGUGCUAAUCAGCAGUGAAUUGACGGUACCUGCAAAGGAAGCACCGGCUAACUCCGUGCCAGCAGCCGCGGUAAUACGGAGGGUGCGAGCGUUAAUCGGAAUUACUGGGCGUAAAGCGCUCGUAGGCGGUAUGUCAAGUCAAGGGUGAAAUCCCCGCGCUCAACGUGGGAACUGCCUUUGAAACUGGCAAACUGGAGUGUGUGAGAGGAUAGUGGAAUUCCAGGUGUAGGAGUGAAAUCCGUAGAGAUCUGGAGGAACAUCAGUGGCGAAGGCGACUAUCUGGCACAUAACUGACCCUGAGGAGCGAAAGCGUGGGUAGCAAACAGGAUUAGAUACCCCUGUAGUC
RNAcentral lists this ribosomal RNA (465 nucleotides) under uncultured bacterium. Its description in RNAcentral is "partial 16S ribosomal RNA". It matches the Rfam family "Bacterial small subunit ribosomal RNA", at positions 338 to 795 of the family's 1533-position model. The record is from RNAcentral.